AAAGGCUCUGCCAGGAAGGAGGCCACCGGAGCCCCUCCCAGUCCGAGGGGAAGGAAAGCUAAGGCCCCGUGUCGCCCUAAAAAUCCAAAGCAAAAUAUUUCCCCCAAGCAUUCUUCUCUCCUCUCUCUGAGCAGAUUCUGCACCGUGGGGACCUGGGGGCUGGCUCCCUCUGGGCCCAGAGUUCCAGCCAAUUUCCACAUUCUAUCGGGAAAGAGCGAUCCCCACCUCCCGUCUCCCAGGCUACACUCGCUUGGAUCCGGGGUUGUGAGCGAAAGGACCGGGCGGAGAGGGCCUGAGGUUGGGCGGAGCACUCAGCACCGGCCUCUAGGGAGCUACAGUAGCGGGCGGACGGAGAGGAGGCGACUCCCUUCCCCCGUGCACACCUUCGCUUGAACAGUCGGGGCCCGCGACGCGCAGGCGGCCAAGAAGGCCAAGGCGGGCGCCACCCGCGCAGCUCAGUCGGCCUGGAGCUCAAGGCAUCUGCGAUGAGUGAGACCUCUUCCAUCCCAGUGGAAAUUCCUGGUCUGCGGAGAAGAGAAAGGACCCCUGAAUUCUGAUGGUUGGAAAUGUCCUGUCGGUUUCUCAAGGGGAUUAACAUCUCUCCGACUCUUGCCCUGCAAAGCCAUCACUUGUACAGGGCAGAGACAGCCGACCGCCCAGGGUGGAAAAUGGAGACAACUGGCUUUCCACGCCUUUCCCAGAAGCAUUUCUGGCCGAGGGAGGAGAGCACAAGGCCUCGGCGCUGGCCCUGCCGGGUUCAUGGCCCUGAGCAGCAGGUGCCCAGAGGGGAAGAAGGGGCUGCAGUGGUGGCAGCCGCGUGUCACCCAACGUGGAAAGCGAGGGGCUUUGGUCCAGAGCUGGUUCAUCUGCCUCCCACAGGCUCAGACUCAGCCCUGGAGGUGCCCCAGGCUGUAGGACAUGAGCCCCCAAGCUGGGUAGGGGCUGCAGGAGAAAGGGGUGUUCAAGGUGGGGGGGCCACGGCAGGGAACACCCUCGGCUUGGGCCCCUUCUGGUUGACAGCCCACUGAAAGGGAGGGGCAGGGUGUCGCCCCCUUGGGUGACCCAGGCAGAUGCCAAAGUCCUGAGGUAUCCCUAUCACACCCACGCCGCCUCCCGCCAGGCGGCCGGCGGGGGUCAGUGUUUGGCCACAGGAAGCUAGUCUUGCAGCUACUCUACUGGUCUGUCUGGACUUGUUCCCUGGGCCAGGUUCUCACCUACCAAGACUCUACCUCCUUCCUGGUGGUCCUAGGCUAUCCUUCCUACUUAUUUAUUUAAAAGAUAGAGAGAGAGCGAGCGAGAGAGAGCGAGCUUCCAUCUGCUGGUUCACUCCCCAAAUGGCCACGACUACUGGGUCAGGCAAAAGCCAGGAGCCAGGAGCUUCUUCCAAGUCUCCCAAGUGGGUGCAGGGGCCCAAGGACUUGAGCCAUCCUCCACUGCUUUCCCAGGCGCAGUAGCAGGGAACUGGAUCAGAAGUGGAGCAGCCAGGACUAGAACCGGCGUCCGUAUGGGAUACUAGUACUGCAGGCAGAGGCUUAACCUUCUAUGCCACAGUGCCAUAAAUAUUUAUUUAUUUUCAUCUACUUGAAAAGUAGAGAGAGAGAGAGAACUGAGACCAGCAUUGUGGUCCAUAGGUUAAACCACCACGUGCAACACCAGCUUCCAAUCCAGUUCUCUGCUAAUGCACCUCGUAAAACAGCAGCAGGUGUGCCCUUGCCACCCAUUUGGGAGCCAGGAUGGAGUUUUUGGCUCCAUUCUUCAGCCUGGCCCAGCCCUGGCUGUUGCAGCCAUUUGGGGAGUGAACUUGUAGCUGUUCUACCUUUCAAAUAAAUAAAUAUCUGUUGGUUCAUUCCCUAAAUGGCUGCAGCAGCUGUGGCUGGGCCAAGCUGAAGCCAAGGAGACCAGAACUCCAUCUGGGUUCCCCACAUGGGUGACGGGAACCCAAACACUUGAGCAAACACCUGCUGCUUCCCGGGAUGCAUUAGCAGGGAGCUGGAUCAGAAGCGGAGUAGCCAAGACUCCAAACCGGAAGUUUUGGGUUCAAGUUCCUGGUCUGCCAGUUACCACUGUGUGAUCUUGGGCAAGUCACUUUACUUCUCUGUGUCAAGUUUCUCCUGUUUAAAAGAUGAGCUCGUGACAGUAAGAAUGACUGCUAUGCUAGGUGCCAAGGGUCCUUACGCCAUGUACCAGGUGCAUGUUAAUAUGCCAGGGCUUAAGGUGAGGAGCCCGGCCCUGAGAGAUGAGUGACAACAGGAAGUAGCAGAGCGGGCUGCAGAACACGGCUCUGUCCCUCUCUGCUGUGUGACUGCCUGGCAGAAUGCAGUGAGAAUUAAAAUUCAAAAAUGGGCAGUGAAGAUACAGUUAGGAUGCCCACGUUUCCCAGAGGGGGGCCUGAGUUGGGUCCUCUGCUCCAACUCCUGACUCCAGCUUCCUGCUGGUGCAGACCCUGGGCUACAGCGGUGAUGGCUCAAGUAAUUGUCACUCACACAGGGGACCUGGAUUGAGCUCUGGGCUCCCAACUUUGGCCUGGCCCAGUCCCAGAUGUGUGGGACUUUGAGGAGUGGGCCAGUGGAUGGGAGCUGUCUUUGUCUGCCUCUCAAAUAAUUUUUAAAGAUUUAUUAAGUAAAAAGGCAGAGUUACAGAGAGAGCAGGAGAGACAUGAGGAAGAGAGAAAGAGAUACUCACACAGACGGAGGUAUCUUCCAGCCACUGGCUCACUCCCCAAAUGGCUGCAAAGGCUGGGGCUGGGCCAUGUUGGAAGCAAGAGCCUGGGACACCAUUGGGGUCUCAGGUGGCAGGAGCCCAAGGCCUUGGGCCGUCUUCUGCUAUUGUCCCAGGUGCAUCAGCAGGGAGCUGGAUUGGAAGUGGAGCAGCUGGGACUCAAAACUUGCAGUUAUAUGGGAGGCCGGUGUGGCAGGAGGUGGCUCAACCCACUGCGCCACAACACCAGCCCCUCAAGUGGUUUUAUUUUUAAUGUAAAAAUUAUGUUAUUACUGUCCUCUGGCAGUCUGGCCUAGACCCUGGUGGGUGCUGACUCCUACCAAGAGGGGAAGCAGGAAGCAGGGGGCAAUGCCUUUGGAUCGUUAGAAGCGUCCUUAGUGGGCUGUGAACUGACCCCGGCUCACGGAACAUAAGCUUCAGAAGUGGGGGACUCCGCCCCUCCUGCUGUGUAGUAGAUGCACAAGAAAUACGAAGAAAUAGACCAGUCCCCACUCCUCCCACGUCCACUCCAGGACGGGUCCUAACGGAGUCGUUUUUCAUAUCAACUGUUCAGCUGCCAGGCGGUGAUGCCGAUUACGGCUUUCAUUCAAGGGCAUUACUGGAUCUCCUACGACUCCUACCGCUCUCCGUUGUCGAAACCAUGCCGAUUCAAUAACAGCCUUUCUAUUAGCAUGGUCAUGGGAUAAAUUGAGUACACCAGCUGGAUGAUUCAGCCUUGUGACUCACAGUGCUGAGGCUGAGAUGUGGAGAAAUGACAGACAGAGGAGAGUGACAGCUGUCAGAGAAGCACGUGGCUCUAACGUCCCAGGAACGCACUCCCGAGGGGCCAGAGAGGCUUCCGCAACCCUGGCUUUGUCUCCAUCCUCCACCUGCUUCAACCAGUGAUUGGCUCCUGUCCAGAGCAUGCGUGAGGACCUUGACUCUCGGCGCUGAUGAAGCCUACAGGUGCAACACCAAAUCCUGGAGUGCUCUGUGUGUGUGCGGACCUACAGGGCGGCAGCAACGGGAGGGCAGAGGAAAGGGAGCCUUCGGCUCAGCACCACGGAACUGGGGGAGGCCGUUUGAUGCAGUGCCUCUGCUGCUGCUCGGGAUGCCUGCACCCCAUAUAGGCGUGCCUGGUUCAAAACCCAGCUCCCCGUCUCCCGGUCCUGCCUUCCUGGGAGGCAGCAGAUGAGAGCCCAAGCGCCUGGGUCCCUGCCACCCACCUGGGAGGCACGGAUGGAGUUCCAGUUUCCUGGUUCUAACCUGGCCCAGCCCUGGCAGCUGUGGGGAUUUGGGGAAUGAACCAGUGGGUAGAUCUGUCUCUUUGUCUUUAAAACAAAAGGGAAAUAACUAAAAUUUAGAAGAUCACUCAUGUUGUUUUUACAAAACACAAAGAAUGGACAAUUAAAACAGACUGUCUAGGGGCCGGCAUUGUGGUGCAGUGGGUUAGGCCACAACCUGCUGUGCCAGCAUCCCAUAUAGGCACCAAUUCAAGCCCCGGGCUGCCCCAUUUCCAGUCCAGCUCUCUGCUAUGGCCUGGGAAAGCAGCAGAAGAUGGCUCAAGUCCUUGGGCCCCUGUAUCCACGUGGGAGACCUGGAAGACGCUCCUGGCUCCUGGCUUCAAUCUGGCCCAGCCCUGGCCGUUGCAGCCAUUUGCGGAGUGAACCUGUGGAUGGAAGAUCUCUCUCUCCCUUUCUCUCUUUGUAACUCUGCAUUUCAAACAAAUAAAUAAAAAUCUUUACAAUUGACCUUAGCCACAAUGCCUGAAGCGAUAAAUAAAUAAAAAUCUUUAAAUAACAGCAACAACAAACACGUUUUCUGUGCUGACUGUCCCUGCGGACUCUCAUUUUAAGGCAACACCACAGUUCAGUCACAGUCCCCAGGAUUUUCUUCUUCUCUUGGUUGGCAGCGGCACAAGCAGUAAACACCUAGAUUUGAGGCUUGGAUGAGCCGACCCAGUGGCCACUGGGCUCCAGGUCCCUCCUCUCUAGGGGCAGGCGUGCUAUUCUGGUUGUCUUCUGACUUCUCUGAGCUUUCCUUUUGUCAUUGGAAGUCUCACCUGUUCUUGCCUUUUCCUGUUGCCUAUAAGGGGGAUUCCAGAUUUUUGUCGACUGUCCUGUCUUCUUUACUCUUCUCCAGACUCAAGUUACAAAAUAAAGAAUGGGACCAGCAUUGCGAUGCAGCAGGUGAAACCCCCUUACUGGAGUGCUGGUUCCUGUCUAGGCUGCUGCCCACUUUGUAUUAAUUAAUAAUUAUUUGAAAAAGUUACAGAAAGGGAGAGACGAGAGACAGGCAGACACAGAGAGAGAAAGACAGGUCUUUCAUCCGCUGGUUCACCCCACAAUGGCCCCAACAGCCAGGGCUGGACAGAGCAGAAGCCAGGAGCUUCAUCUGGGCAUCCCACAUGGGUAGCAGGGGUCCAAGCACUCGGGCCGUCCUCCGCUGCUUUUCCCAGGCCGCCAGCAGGGAGCUGGAUGGAAAUGAAGAAGUUGAGACUCAAAUCAGUUCCCACACCCACCAUGCCGCAAUGCCAGGCUCUGGUCUACUUCUUAUCCAGCUCCCUGCUAAUGCGCCUGGGAAAGCAGAGAAGAUGGGUCCCUGCCAGCCAUGUGGGACACUGGGUUAGAGUUACCGAGUCCUGGCUUCUGCCUGGCCCAGCCCCAGGCCAGGGCUGUUGGAAGCAGAUAGAAGUUUCUCUCUCUCUCUCUCUCUCUCUCUCUCUCUCUCUCUCUCUCAUAACAUAAAUGAAUCUUUAAAGAAAAUAAACAGCAACUUGGAUUGGGUGUCCGUCCCUGACUUCCCAGCGGUAGCUGGGGAGGGGGCAUUUGUGUGGACAUUGCACCCACCACUGGAGUCACAGGGAUGAAGCAGGAGAGGCGCACUCACUGGAGGAGACCUGGGGAGGAGCGUGAGACGACCACUGAGAGCCCCGCUGAGGACGUUUCAAUCGGAUGUCCCCACGGGUGCUUCCCAUCUUCUCCAGAAAACCUGACUCCCCUCCUGUUCUGCCAACCUCAGUGAACGGGGCCGCCAUCCGCCACGUCGCUCAGCUAGAGAAUCAUUCUAGAAAGCCCCUGUCUAUCACCAGCCCCAAUGCCGCUAAUGUAUCACCGAGCCCCGUUCUAUCGCUACCUUCUGAGCAUUCCUCCUGCCCACCUGUCCUGCUACCUCCUCAGUUUGAGGCCUUCUUCAAAGGUCAUCUGGAAUAUUCACCUGUUGCUUAGCUGCACUGUCUGCUCCUAAUCUUGCUUCCCCUAACCCCCUCUCCUCACUGCUGCCAGGGGUCUGCCUUUGUAUUUCUAAACUUAGCAGACUGUUGUCUGACGCUAUGAAAAAAUCCAUGAUGACUUAAAGCAUCAAUUAAUAAGGAAAAGACUAGAGGGGAAUGAAACUUUUCCUGAAAUUCUCUGUGUCUGUGUGUCAUUGUGUCUUCACCUGGGGCUCACUCUGUGUCUGUCUCUGACUCCUAAUUUUCCUCUUCUUAGAAGGAGCCAACCAUCUUGGCUGGAGCCCACCCCACUUCAGUUAAGGACUUCACCUGAACUAACAGCGCUUGCUAUGACUCUAUUUCUUUUCCUUCUUUCUUUUUUCUUAAAGAUUUAUUUGUUUAUUUGAAAGGCAGUUCCAGAGAGAGGGAGAGAGAUCUUCCACCUGCUAGUUUACCCCCUAAGUGGCUGCAAUAGCCAGGACUGGACCAGGCUGAGGCCAGGAGCCAGGGACUCCAUUCAGAUCUCCCACGCGGAUGGCAGGGACCCAAGCACUUGGGCCACCUUCCGUUGCUUUCCCAGGCACGUUGGCAGGGAGCUGGAUCAGAAGUGGAACAGCCGGGACUUUAACUGGUAUUCACACGGUGGCUUAACUCACUGUUCCACAGCACCAACUCCAGUGAUCCUGUUUCUGAAUAAGGUCCUAGGGGUUUGGAAUUCAACAGAUCUUCAGAGGGAGGGCAGCACAACUCAACCCCAAACAUACCCUGCCGCAUUUUUUCACCUGAUCAGCUCCUCUUCGUUCUCCUACCGAGGUGCGAUCUCUCCAAGGCAGUUUUCCCGGAAGACUAAGUACAGGCCUGUGUUCCCCAUAGCUGCCUCCACAAUGGCACAGGGCAUGCAUUAUUAUCUGUAUGUAGGCCAUUUUUCUUUCUUUUUUUUUAAGAUUUUAUUUAUUUGAGAGGUAGAGUUACAGUCAGUGAGAGGGAGAAAAGGGUCUUCCUUCCAUUGAUUCACUUCCCAGAUGGCCGCAAUGGCCAGAGCUGUGCCAAUCUGAAGCCAGGAGCCAGGUGCUUCCUCCUGGUCUCCCAAGCGGGUGCAAGGGCCCAGGCACUUGGGCCAUCUUCUACUGCUUUUCCCAGGCCAUAACAAAGAACUGGAUUGGAAGAGGGGCAACUGGGACUAAAACCGGCACCCAUAUGGGAUGUUGGCACCGCAGGGGGAGGAUUAACCUACUGUGCCACGGCACCGCCCUAGCCAUUUUUCUUUAAACUAUGGUUAUAGUUCCUUCAAGGUUGGACCUGUGUCUUUCUAUCUUGAAUACGCCCAGACGAAUGUCUUCUGUUAAUUAGUUCAAGGGUACCUGAGCUGGAGAUAAAAAAAUACAGUGACUUCUAGAAAAAUGCAGGUGUAUGUCUGGGUUGGAUGCUCCAAGGGGCCGGCUGAGGAUUCUGGUUCCUUCCAUUUCAUUGCUUGGCCGACAGAGGGCUCUGUCCUCAUCUGCUUGGUUAGGUAGCAGGCACAUCUGUGCUCCAGCUUGUGGGGUCGGGGGAGAGGCUAUUGGAAAAUUCAUGUUCAGUGUCCAAAAACUCAGCCACAAAGUCAGCCCCAUCGUUUCUGCUCUUUCUGUCAGCAAGAGCUUAGUCACACGGCCCCCUUACUUGAAAUGCAGGCUGGAAACAUUCCUUCGUGAGCAACACUAAAACUCUCUUGCAGCUCCACAGCCCCUUAUCUCCAGGUUCUGAGAGCUCAGAAGUUCUGGAAAUCAUAAGAUUUUCCCCUAAGCUUGGCACAAACUCAUGUACAGGCAAAAUCUGACUUGAAAUGACACAAGGAAUUUAUAGAGACAUCUAUAAAGGCUAUUUAUAGUCUUUAUUUAACCCACUUAGAAUGAAUACUACUAUAUUUUUGUUGCAAAAGUGCCAAUAUCUUUGAUUAAGCUCUCCCCAGACCCUGCUGGGGGAGUUAAUGAUGUGCUGAGUGUGUGGCAUUUCAUCUUUCUGAAAACAGUUCCCAAAUUCAUCUACAGUGUUGAUCUCAGAUCCAGGCAAGGAGCCACACACUGUGGAGGUCCUGCGUUUCUCUUCUUUUAAGCGUCUGUGGGCCCUCCAUUGCCCUGAGCACCCUCUAAUUCUAGACCAUAACCCACACACCUAGGGCACUAGAAUUUGCCUCCCAAAUGGCCCGAAACCUGUACAGGCCUUUGCAGCAGGUCUGCCUUCUGGACAGAAGUGUAUGCCUCUGAUAGCUGCACUUGUAAGCCUGAUAUGACCACAGGGCAGUUUUUACAGUAAUCAAGGGGGGAGGUUGACUGUGCAAACGAAGACGUCCACACAUGUGUUUGUAUAGCCCUCACGAUGAGGCUAGAGUCAGGAGUACAAAAAGAAAGCGCAUAGAUGCCAUUGUCCAAAAUUGCAAAUUGGACCCUGACCAUAUUUUUUUCAAGGUGAAACAGAACACAGGUCUUAUUUGAUGGCUUGUUAGCUUUGCUUGUGUAUCAGAUGUGAGCAGGUGGGCCUUCAUUUCUCCUCUUGGCCCAGGCCCUGUAUCUGUACACCAGCACCAGGGGUUUUGGAGAGCUUGUAGACAUGUGCAAUGGAGGAAAGGGAAAAUAGGCACCACAGCUCAUUCCUGGCACUUAAGUGGUACUCAGUAAGGGAUACCGAAUAGGUACUCAGUGAGAGGUUGUUGAGCUAAAGUAGAGAUGACAACCAGCUCACAGAUUCUUGGGCAGAUCAAAAAGGUAUUUGAAAGCAGUAUGUCAGUUAUGAAGGAUUCUACAAAUGUAGUUGAUGAUGAUAAUAAUGAAGAUUAUAGAAUGCAAAUUUGGAGUGGAGGAGGGCCAGGGAAAUCUAACAGUGGAUUUAUAGUAGAUGAGCCAGAGGAGGUGGAAUUGUAUUUAACCUAUGUGUGGAGGCUUGGCAUUUUUGCGUGUCAAGACUUCAAUCCAUGAACAUAGUAUGUGUCUCCAUUUAGAUUCCUUUCAUCAGGAUUGUAUAGUUUUUAGCAUACAAGUCCUAUUCAUGUUUGCUAGCUUUUCAUGUGGAUACUUUUUUUAGUGAUUAUAAAUGCUAUAUUUUAGGUGUUUUAUAUAUUUAUGUGUGUGCUAUAUAUUUAGUGUCCAGUUGUUUAUUGUUAGCAUAUAGAAUAUGGAAAUGCAAUUGAUUUUUGUGAUCUUGCUGGACUCUCUUGUCAUUUCUAGGUGUUUUUUUUUUUUUUUUUGUAGAUCCCUUGAGAUUAUGUGGAUUUCAUGUCAUCCACAAUAGGGACAUUUUUGCCUGUUCAUUCCCAAUCCAUAUGCCUUUUAUUAGGUGAAUUCAAAAAGUUCGUGGAAAAUAGAAUUAAAAGGCAAGUUUAUUUUGGGAAAAAAUUUUUGAAAUUGAUGUAUAUGAGAGGUCUUCACAAAGUUCAUGAUGGGGCCAGCGCUGUGCUUCUCUCUCUCUCUCUCUCUCUCUCUCUCUCUCUUCCUCUCUCUUUCUCUCUGUCACUCUGCCUUUCAAAUAAAUAAAUAAGUAACCUUUAUUUUAAGAGCUCAUGAGGGACAGUCCUUUGGUCUGGUGGUUAAGCCACUGGUUAGAACACCCUGUCCAGGGCUAGAGUGCCUGAGUCAGAGGCCUGGCUCUGGCUCCUGACUCUUGCUUUCUGCUAACAAAGAUGAUGGGAGGCAAUGGUGAUGACUCAAGUAGCUGGGCUCCUGCCACCAUGAGGGAAGCCUGGAUUGAGUUCCUGGGUCUUGGCUUUGGUCCCUCCAAUCAUUGUGGGCAUUUUGGAAGUGAACCAGUGAAUGACAGUCCUCACUUUCUAUUUCUCAAAUAAUUUUUUUGAAAAGUGUGAGCUACCUGCUUUCUUUCUUUCUUUCUUUCUUUCUUUCUUUCUUUCUUUCUUUCUUUCUUAAUUUGACAGGUAGAGUUAUAGACAGUGAAAGAGAGAGACAGAGAGAAAGGUCUUCCCUCCGUUGGUUCACACCCCAAAUGGCCGCUACGGCCAGCGCUGCACCGAUCCGAAGCCAGGAGCCAGGUGCUUCCUCCUGGUUUCCCAUGCAGGUGCAGGAGCCCAAGCACCCGGGCCAUCCUCCACUGCCUUCCCGGGCCACAGCAGAGAGCUGGACUAGAAGAGGAGCAACUGGGACUAGAACCCAGUGCCCAUAUGGGAUGCCGGCGCCACAGGCGGAGGACCAAUCAAGUGAGCCACGGCGCUGGCCCUGCCUCCUGCUUUCUUAAAAAAAAAAAAAAAAAGAAUAUAGGGGACAGAUGUUGAAGUGUGGUGGAUUAAGCCACCAUCUGCAGUGCCAGGAUCCCAUAUGGGCACAGGUUUGUGUCCCAGCUGCUCCACUUCCCACCCAACUCCCUGCUAGUGGCCUGGGGAAGACAGUGGAAGCUGGCCCAAGUGCUUGGGCCCCUGCACCCAAGCAGGAGACCCAGAUAAAGCUCCUGGCUUCUGGCUUCAGCCUCGCCCAGCUCUGGCUGUUGCAGGCACUUGAGGAGUAAACAAGUCAAUGGAAGAUCUCUCUCUCUCCCCUUCUGUCUCUCUCUUUCUCUCCUUCUCUCCCUGUCACUCUAUCUGUCAAACAAAUAAAUAAAUCUUUAAAAAAAUGAAAAGGAAAAAGUCCAUGAAAAUGCAUGCUAUGCUAAUGUUGAAUGAAUUCAUAUUUCUUUGUCUUUUCUUAUGGUACUGGCUAGAACUACCAGCAGCAUGGUGAAUAAAGGAGCUAAUCUCGGGGAAACACGGCAACUUUUACCACUGAGUAGAAUGCUAGUGGGUUUUGUGGAUGCUCUUUAUCAAGUUCAGGAUGUUCUUCUUGAUUCUUAUUUUUCUGAGAGGUUUGAAAAAAUUAUGAAAUGGAUGUUGACGCUUGUCAAAUAUUUCUUCUGCAUCACUGAUGUUAUUAUGUGUUUUUUCUUUAUACUGUUAAUAUGGUGUCUCAUACUGUUUGACUUUGGAAUAUUGAAGCAACCUUGCAUCCCUGAAAUAAACCCACCUGCAUAAUUUUUAAAAAAAGAUAUGUUUACUUAUUUGUUUAUUUGCAGGGCAGAAUGAUCGAGAGAGAAGGAGGGAGAAAGAGAUUGUCCAUCUGCUGAUUCACUCCCCAAAUGCCCGCAACACCUAAGGCUGGAUCAGGCUGAAACCAGGAGCCAGGAACUCCAUCCAGGUCUUCCAUGUGGGUGGCAGGGAUCCAAGUACUCAGGGGUCGUCUGCUGCUCCUGGGUACGUUAGCAGGAAGCUGACUUUGAAGCAGAGGUGGGACCCAAUCCUAUGGACUCAGGGGAUGCAGGUGUCCCAAGCAGCAGGUUAAUCCCACCCCCGUGCCAUGAUGCCAGCUCCUAUAAUUCCUUUUAUAUAUUGCUAAAUCCUAUUUGCUGGUAUUUUGUUAAGGUGUUUGCAUCUGUAUUCGUGAGGGAUGUUGAGCUGUAGCAUUUUCUUUUCUUUUCGGAAUGCCUCCAUCUGGUUUUGAUAUUGGGGUAACAUUGUGUUCAUAAAAAUUAAUUCAGAAGUAACCCUGCACUGCUGUUUCCUGGAAGAGAAUGUGUAGAAUUUCAGGCUUCUUAAAUGCUUGGUUGAAUUCUCCACGGGGCACUGGAGCCACCCAGACCCUGAAGUGCUAGAAGGUGGUGGUGGAUUUCAUUACAAAUUCAGCUUUGACCUAUUUCAUACGAGAUGAGUGCUGGGAGUGUGUGUUUUUUCAAGGGAUGGGUUCAUUUUAUUUAAGUUGCCAAAUUUAUGUGUGAAGAGCUGUUUAUAGGUACCAGUUCCCUGUGACUUCUGUAGCAAAUUAACACAACUUGAUGCUUGUAAAGGCACAGAGGUUUACCCUCUCACGGGUCUACAGGGCAGCAGUUCAAAAUCAGCAUCAAGGAACAUAACCCAGGCGUUGGUCGGCAGGACCCCCACCCCCACAACACACACACACACACACACACAGGCUGCAGGGAGAGCCCGUCCUCACCUCUUUUGGCCUCUGGUGGCUUCUGACAUUGCCUGGUGUGUGGCCACGUCACUUGCACCCGUGCCUCCCUGGUCACAUUGUCUAUCUUCCUGUGUCAAAUUUCCCUAGGCCAGAGAUUUCUUAUAAGGACUUGUGAUUGUACCAGGCCCACGGGGUAAUCGCUUUAUCAGAAAAAUCCUUACUUAAUCAUAUCUGCAAAGACUAUUUUUCCAGAUAAGUUCAUUCAUAUGUACAUGUUCCAGGGAAUAUGACCUGAUGUCUUCAGAGAAUGACUGAAGCUGAAUCAUGUCCUCCAAAGAGAUUUCCCUAUUUCAUCGUUAAGAAAAAGAUUUUAUUUAUUUAUUUGAGUGGUAAGAGUUACAGACAGAAAGAAGGAGAGACAGAGAAAGGUCUUCCAUCUUCUGAUUCAUCCCCCAAAUAGCCACAAUGGCCAGAGCUGGGCCGAUCUGGAGACAGGAGUUUUUUCUGGAUCAGUAGGGGCCUGAGCACUUGGGCCAUCUACUGCCUUCCCAGGCCAUAGCAGAGAGCUGGAUCAGAGGUGGAGCAGCCAGGACUUGACCUGGCACCCAUGUGGGAUGCUGGCACUGCAAGCGGUGGCUUUACCUGCUAUGCCACAGCAGUUUUAUUUAUUUUUAUUUGAAAGGCUGAAUAACAGAGAGAGAUUUUCCAUCCAACAGUUCACUGCCCAAAUGCCCGCAAUAGCUGGGGCUGGGUUGGGCCAAGCCAAGAGCCCAGAACUCUAUCUGGGUCUCCCACUUGGGUGGCGGGGACCCAAGUAAUUGAGCCAUCCCUGCUACCCCCCACCCAGUUGUGCAUUAGCAAGAAUCUAGAUGAGAAGCAGAGGAGCCAGACUGCAGCCCAGGCACUCCCAUAUGGGGUGUGGGCAUCCAGAUGGUGUCUUCAUGGCUGCUCCAACCACCCACGCCAAGUCCUGCCCAUCACUGGAAGCCUCCCACAAUGAUGCCAGUUGCUGCUUGUUGUUCCAGAUCCUCCCUCCCACCUCUCACCGUGGCCUCUGGCUUCCUCAGGGCCAGACUUGUCUCUGCUGUAGACACUGGCACCUUGAGCUAGGGGUGUGAGCACACACACAAGCAGAGGGCCUGGCUUCCGACGUCAACUCCAGUGCUGAAUUGCUGUGUGACGUUGGGCAGCUAAGUGACUUCUCUGUGCCUCAGGUGUGCGCACACCUCCACGAAGCCCUGCAGUUGGCAGGUCCAGAGGAGGUUGCCUUUCAGAGCCUGACCACACGGCAUCUUACGGUGGAGCCCAAAGCUCCCAAUUCCUCUUUGAAUAGGAUCACCCCCCAUCCUGACCCCUCCCGGAGAAGGUGAAGGAUUGUGUUGAUGUAGCAGAACUGGAGAAUUUGGCCAGGGAGCCCACGAUAGCCCUCAGGUCAGAGCUGGGCCGGGGAGCCCGCGCCAAAGCCGAGACAAUAGUUUCCUGGAAAAAGAAGGCUGCCUGAGCUCAGGGUGGCCUGGAUCCUGCUUCAUUUCCUGGAGCGGCUCCUGGGCCGGUUAUUGAACAGCCAAUAAAGCAGAGCUUAUAAAAACCCCACGAGUUCGGGCUGCAUCACUGCCCUGGUAUCCUAGCACCGGUUGGUCUGGGGUUUCAUUUGCUGAUGGACAGAGGAGGGACUGUUGCAACACAAGGCCGGGGUGGUGUGGGCGAGGAGAGAAUAGGAUUAUCGCUCUGCAGAGAUUUGCCCGUGCCCUCUGCUGGGGAGAGGGGUCCUGCCUUGCCCGGCCACGCUCAGGGAUCUGAGUCCCCCGGACCCUCUGCUGGGUUUGCCGCUGCCCUCUGUGAAGCCUUGAGCAAUGUGAAAGGUCUGGGUAGCGAUGCCGACUCCACAGAGAUCUCUACACACGCGCCAGAGUUAAAGAUGUGUUUCAAGUCUUCUGGCAACCCAGUGUGACCGUUGGCUUCCAAAAUUGGGAAGAAAACAACACAAAACAAAAAAUCAUCAUUCCCAAACCAGAUAUUUUCCAGUGUCCAGAUGUUCAGUUGCAUGCAAACCAAAUGUCUGGAUUAUGAGCUCAUUUUUUUAAUUGUGUUUUUUUCAGUUGUUUACACGCGGAUUUUGGGUCCAACUGGUCAGAAGCCCUCCCAGGGUGUCCAUUCCCCAGCCACUCCCGCUCCCCUGCUCCUGCCUCCUCUCUGCCCUGCUCCCGGCAUCCCCCGACUGCCCUUUUCAUCGCACCAUAGCAGUCGCAGCUCGUGCCCAGAACAGGGCUGCCCUCGCCAGCAGGACUCCAAGCAGAAGAGGCGGCGUCUCUCCAAGGAAAAGUUGUCUUGAGCGUUCCGAGCCUGGUCUUCUCCAGACGACCCCAGAAGGGAACAAGGGCAGGUCCAGAAGUGCAGACGGAGGUUUCCAGGCAGGGAGGUCCAGGGAGAGAGACUGGGAAUGCAGACGGGAGCUGCGGGCCGGGGUCAGGCAUGGAGUCCACCUCGGGGUCAUAACCUCACCAAGGGCAAGCACGAACACAGUCUGGGAACCAAAGGCCAUGGUCAAGACCGCAAAUGAGACACGCCUUUAAAAGGGGUGAUGGGAACCGUACAGGAGCAGGGCCUGACUGUCCCAGGUGGCGAGUGCCAGGGCAGAGCGCCCGCAGCCACAGUCCCUUUUAGCAGGAUGCUGUGAAAUCCGUCUCUUGGAGAUGUUCUUCCAGUGGAGUGGAGAGUGGGAGCAGGCAGCCUCGGCCUGGCUGGCACCGGACGUCCGUCCCCUUCCACGACUCAAGGCGGAAGUUCCUCCACCACCGACCUUGACUCCGGUUCUAGCCCUCUCUCUCCCUUUCCAAUCUGUCCCCAAGCAGGAGGGGAGAAUCUGGAACCAAUGCUGUACCAGCCACACCUACGUGGAGUUGUUAAGUGGGAGAGAACUUGCUGUUGGAGGCUGGGCUGGCCCCUGGCAACAGGACAGACGUGUGUCCCUGCAGUCCGGUCAGCCAGGGUACCUGCUCUGGGAAAGUCAGCUCCUGAGGAGCGAUGGGAAUCGGGUCCUGAGAAGAUCCAAGGAAGCCUAAAGGACCACUCACUCUGGUCACUUCACACCAUGGAGACGGCACUAGGGAGGACCUGCCCGGUGCUGUCCCAGUAAUGUGGCGCCCUGGAUGGGCUUCCAAAACCUGACCUGUGAGCCUCUUGGGAAGUAGUUAGCUAGCUACCUAUCAUCUAUUACCUGCCAAUUGAGUAUCUAUCAUCUAUCUCGAUCUCUAGCUCUCUUUCUCCUUUUUUUUUUUUUUUAAGAUUUAUUUAUUUGAGGGGCCGUUGCUGUGGCUCACUAGGUUAAUACUCCAUCUGUGGCGUAGGCAUCCCAUUUGGGUGCCGGAUUCUGUCCCGGUUGCUCUUCUUCCAGUCCAGCUCUCUGCUGUGGCCUGGGAAAGCAGUGGAGGAUGGCCCAAGUGCUUGGGCCCCUGCACCUGUGUGGGAGACAUGGAUAAAGCUCCUGGCUUCUGGCUUCAGAUUGGCGCAGCUCUGGCCGUUGCAGCCAUUUGGGGAGUGAACCAAUGGAAGGAAGACCUUUCUCUCUGUCUCUCUGUCUCUGUCUCUCUCUCUCUCUCACUGUCUGUAAUUCUAUCUGUCAAUAAAUAAAUUUUUAAAAAAGUAAAAAAAAAAGAGAGAUUUAUUUAUUUGAAAGGCAGAGAGUUACAGAGAGGCAGAGGAGAGAGAGAUAUCUUUCAUCUGCUGGUUUAUUCCCCAAAUGGCUGCAAAGGCCGGAGCUGCACCGAUCUGAAGCCAGGAGCCAGAAGCUUAUUCCGGGUCCCCAACAUGGGUGCAGGGGCCCAAGCACUUGGACCAUCUUCUACUCUUUUCCCAGGCCUUCAGCAGAGAGCGGGAUCUGAAGAGGAGCAGCUGGGAAUUGAACCGGCAUCCUAUGGGAUCCCAGCACCACAAGCGGAAGCUUACCUUCUAUGCCACAGCACUGGCCCCCUUGCAUCAUUUUUCCUGCCUCUCUCCAUGUAUUUCUCUCCAUCUUUCACUCUAUAAGGCUACUUCAAAAACUUCAUGGAAAAUGUGUGAUAUGAAAAAAAUACUAAUGCCCAGAAGGUGGGGCCAGCGCUGUGGCAUCACGGAUAAAGCUGCCGCCUGCAGUGCCUGCGUCCCAUAUGGGCACCAGUUCGAGUCCCAGCUGCUCCUCUUCUGAUGGAAGCGGCAGAUGGAGGACCUCUCUCUGUGUCUCUCCCUCUCUGUCUGUAGCUCUGCCUCACAAAUAAAUAAAUAAAAAUCUUUAAAGAAAACUAUGAAAACGUGUAAAGUAGGAAGUCUCCCUCCCACACUCUCCGUUUCUCUCGUUCUCGACGUUGCUCCAUCCCUGGAGAGGAAACCACGGUGAUUGGUUUUUGCUGUGUCUUUCCAGAGGGUCCUUAUGCAAAUGAAAAUUACCUGAUAAUAUGCUCUUAUGUCCCCCUUCUGUAUACAAAAGAUGGACUACCGUAAUCUCACUCUGCGCCUUUUUGAUCACUUAAUAAUAAAAACGUGAUUUUAUUAA
Non-coding RNA from Oryctolagus cuniculus (rabbit), 16339 nucleotides. NCBI's taxonomy places the organism in Eukaryota, Metazoa, Chordata, Mammalia, Lagomorpha, Leporidae. The record is from RefSeq and is a predicted model, not a curated record.